Molecule: ribosomal RNA, 403 nt
Filed under: Fusobacteriota bacterium
Lineage: Bacteria; Fusobacteriati; Fusobacteriota
Description: Fusobacteria bacterium partial 16S ribosomal RNA
Rfam family: Bacterial small subunit ribosomal RNA
Source: RNAcentral
UGGGGAAUAUUGCACAAUGGAGGGAACUCUGAUGCAGCGACGCCGCGUGAACGAAGAAGGCUCUCGAGUCGUAAAGUUCUUUUAUAUGGGAAGAUAAUGACGGUACCAUAAGAAAAAGCCCCGGCUAACUACGUGCCAGCAGCCGCGGUAAUACGUAGGGGGCUAGCGUUGUCCGGAAUCAAUGGGCGUAAAGGGUUCGCAGGCGGAAAUGCAAGUCAGGUGUAAAAGGCAGUAGCUUAACUACUGUAAGCAUUUGAAACUGCAUAUCUUGAGAAGAGUAGAGGUAAGUGGAAUUUUUAGUGUAGCGGUGAAAUGCGUAGAUAUUAAAAAGAAUACCGGUGGCGAAGGCGACUUACUGGGCUCAUUCUGACGCUGAGGAACGAAAGCGUGGGUAGCAAACAGG